CAAGACUGCAGUGACUCAAGCAGAGAGUGUAGCAUAAGUGGACAGCAUUUGAAUGGUUUCUGUUCUAAUAUACCAGCUCUGCCAGCAGUGUCUGAGCUCACAGACUAGCUCAAACACUUACACUGACCCACAGAAAUACCUCAGCCAUUGUGUCUGGGGCUGCUAAAAGAAUCUGCCAGUAUCACCUGGACCUUAAGAACAAUAAAUACGCUCAUCUUGAAAGAAGACAGAUUAAAAUAAAGGGCCCACAGAAAUUCAUCCAACAGAAACAUUUCUAAGGCACCGAACAAAACCUGCAGUGGCUGAGUCUUCAAAUAUUCUGUAUUAAGUACUGUCUCUGGAGAGGUGCUUAAAAAUUCAUAAUACGGUGUAUCUAUUGAUGUAUUUAACGGAACUCUGGAGUAAGAAAGUAGAACUCUCCAGCACUGUCAAGAUAACACUGCCAAAUUUUCCUUUGGAUCUGUACAUCUCCAGAUGAAAACCUGAGCUCCCUCAGGGCCCAGAUAUUAUAGUUGGAGCUGACAGCUUGGAUCUCUAUUGUGAGAAAUUAUUCAUGAUAUUAGCAGUUCUUUCCUCUUAAGCUUGAAAAUGGGAGUUAUAGCCCAUUGCUCAUACCUGAACUGGAUAGCUUUAUACCGCGUCUACAUUUCUGGAAUUCAUCAAUCGUUGAAGCACUGAAGCAAGUCCAAGUCCUCAAAAGAUCCACAAGUGCAA
Long non-coding RNA from Oxyura jamaicensis (ruddy duck), 714 nucleotides. RefSeq lists it as uncharacterized. Lineage: Eukaryota; Metazoa; Chordata; Aves; Anseriformes; Anatidae. The record is from RefSeq and is a predicted model, not a curated record. The transcript is spliced from 3 exons.